CCCUGACUGAGCUCAAGGAUAAACGGGGAAGUCAUGGUUGAGACUUGAGAGCCUCUGUCUUGUCUUUGGAAGAAUCUUUGAUACAUCUGUAUCAAUUUUCCUAAAUGCAUUUCAAAGACUAGUCAAAGAAAAAAAAAGCUGUAAUAUUAUUUUCAAAAGUGUGCCUCAAAAAUGAACAACACAAACUUCACUGUUGCUCUUUCCACAGGCUCCAAAAAUAGUGACAUUAAUAAAGGUUCCGUUGGUUAUUUCAAGAGGCAGCAACCUUCUUCCUUACAAUUCUCUUUCGCCUAGCCUUUGGAGGUUGAGGAGAAUCUGAAGCUGAGUCAUGUUGCUUCAUACCAAGUAGCCGUGAGACGAUUGCAUUCUUUGAGAUGAACCAUCUUGAAUCUUGCUUUGCUACACCUUCCUCUGAGGGUCGGUUAUAUGCUUUUGCCAGUAGACCAUCUGAUUGAGCCAGCGGGUCGGCCUCCAUGCCUAGCCAUAUUUGUCUUGAUCUUUCCCCUAACCGAAUGGGACUUUGCUCGAUAUUCGCUGACGCAGCUUAGAACUCAUCAACAGGCUGUGAAGGCUUUGGUUGGAUCAUUGAUGCUCGGAAUUCAAUCUCACAACAUGCAGUGACCGCGACCUUUGUCUCGUCGCCCAGGGCAGAAACUAUGGCGAUGCUCACAGCCAUGACCUUUGCUCGGGAUCAUGGAAUCGAAUCCAUCUCACUCUUCUCUGACUCUCAAGUUCUUAUCAACACGAUCAAGUUGGAGAUCUAUAGCUUGCUUCGUGAUAUCUAUCUUCUCUCCCUUUCAUUUAAGACAAUCAAGUUUAAUUUUAUUCCAAAAAUAUUUAAUGUUAGAGCUGACUCUGUUGCCAAACAGGUUUUAUGGGCCCUGAACCAAAUUUAAGUUACGAAUGAAAUCAGUUUGCAAAAAAACAUUCAGCCCAUUUAAAUAUUUUAAAAGUUUGGAUCGUGUUUAAUAAUUAUAUUCAGUUUGAGUUACAUGUGCUUACCAAAAUAGUUUUAGUUUCAAAUAUUAAUCGGGUUUUUAAAUAGUUUUAGUUUCAAAUAUGUAGUUGAUUAAAAUGAAUAUAUUUCCAAUCUUAUAAAUAGAUUUACAAGGCCCUGACUGAGCUCAAGGAUAAACGGGGAAGUCAUGGUUGAGACUUGAGAGCCUCUGUCUUGUCUUUGGAAGAAUCUUUGAUACAUCUGUAUCAAUUUUCCUAAAUGCAUUUCAAAGACUAGUCAAAGAAAAAAAAAGCUGUAAUAUUAUUUUCAAAAGUGUGCCUCAAAAAUGAACAACACAAACUUCACUGUUGCUCUUUCCACAGGCUCCAAAAAUAGUGACAUUAAUAAAGGUUCCGUUGGUUAUUUCAAGAGGCAGCAACCUUCUUCCUUACAAUUCUCUUUCGCCUAGCCUUUGGAGGUUGAGGAGAAUCUGAAGCUGAGUCAUGUUGCUUCAUACCAAGUAGCCGUGAGACGAUUGCAUUCUUUGAGAUGAACCAUCUUGAAUCUUGCUUUGCUACACCUUCCUCUGAGGGUCGGUUAUAU
RNAcentral lists this long non-coding RNA (1540 nucleotides) under Brassica napus (rape). RNAcentral describes it as "long non-coding RNA (BNAP_LNC000260)". The record is from RNAcentral. Lineage: Eukaryota; Viridiplantae; Streptophyta; Magnoliopsida; Brassicales; Brassicaceae.